Molecule: ribosomal RNA, 441 nt
Filed under: uncultured bacterium
Lineage: Bacteria
Description: partial 16S ribosomal RNA
Rfam family: Bacterial small subunit ribosomal RNA
Source: RNAcentral
CCUACGGGAGGCAGCAGUCGGGAAUCUUGCGCAAUGGAGGAAACUCUGACGCAGUGACGCCGCGUGCAGGAAGAAGGUUUUCGGAUUGUAAACUGCUGUUGACAGGGAAGAAAAAAGGCAGUACCAGUAGAAUAAGCUCCGGCUAACUACGUGCCAGCAACCGCGGUAAUCCGUAGGGGGCAAGCGUUAUCCGGAGUUAUUGGGUGUAAAGGGGGCGUAGGCGGAGAAGCAAGUUAGUUGUGAAAUCCAUCGGCUGAACUGAAGUACUGCAACUAAAACUACUUCCCUUGAGUACUGGAGAGGAGAGUGGAAUUCCUUGUGUAGCGGUGAAAUGCGUAGAUAUUAGGAGGAACACCAGUGGCGAAGGCGACUUUCUGGACAGUAACUGACGUUGAGGCACGAAAGUGUGGGGAGCAAACAGGAUUAGAUACCCGUGUAGUC